AAAUUGUAAUUCUGAAACAUACAUGAAAUUCACAAAUAGAGAGAAGAUACAUUAAUUCACAUACAUAAUUACUAUUUCAUUCACAAACAGAGAGAAGAUACAUUAAAUUCCCAGAUAACCCAACUAUUAUUACAUAACUUGCUAUAUAAGAAUGUCUUGGAGCUUCUUUGAACAUCUUUCGUCUUGAAUUUACUCAAAAUAUCUGCCAACAAGAAAACAGAACAGCAAGGAUAGGGUGAAUAACAACAACAAUAGGUGAUGGGGUGCUAUUCCAUCUAAACAAGAGACUGAACCCAACAAGCUAGAUUCAUUCAGCAUCAUCAACAAUUCAGUAAAGUACUGCAAUUUAGAACUAAUGAGAAAAAACAACUACACGACUUCAUAACUGAACAUAUUCAAGUAAAAAUUGUACAAGUUACAUUCCAGUAAACAAACUGUACAAGUUGACGAUUCCCUGCUGCAUAUACAUAUCACUUGUGUCAUGUUUGGGGGUUCAGAAUGUACACAACAUGUUUAUGGUAGAUGAACUGCAGCUGCUAGGAAUAGUAAAGUAAAGAUGUACUGCCACUAAUCAGCAAAAACAUAACAUUUUCUCAGAGUUAAUGAUAGCACAUGGAUAAAGAUGGAAACAAAAAAUAUUUCUAAUCUUGGAACCCAACAUAGCAAAUCAAAACGAGAGAGGGGCAGAGGUGGUGUGGAGGAGACAGGACCUUGAGCUGCUGCUCCUCUUCAUGGUUGUGUGUCACCCUCCAUCUCCUAACUAUGAUCAUCAACAUCUACUACUAACAACUCCCUGUGCAAUCCUACAUUGCCGUAAAAAUUCCUC
This 826-nucleotide long non-coding RNA is filed under the name Triticum aestivum (bread wheat). RNAcentral describes it as "long non-coding RNA (TAES_LNC008330)". Lineage: Eukaryota; Viridiplantae; Streptophyta; Magnoliopsida; Poales; Poaceae. The record is from RNAcentral.